This is a long non-coding RNA of Alosa alosa (allis shad), 879 nucleotides long. RefSeq lists it as uncharacterized. The record is from RefSeq and is a predicted model, not a curated record. Lineage: Eukaryota; Metazoa; Chordata; Actinopteri; Clupeiformes; Clupeidae. The transcript is spliced from 4 exons.
GACGAACAUAUUUCCUCUUGUCUCGUCUGACGAAAUUAACACUAGGAUAGAUAGAAGCUAACUUAUGAUUUGUCAUGCAAGACAGAAAAUGUAACGGUUAACAUUACUAGCCUAAGGUGUAGACACUCUAUGCACUGUGGUUUAGCUAGCUAGCUGCUAUUGUUGCAUCAUGGACAACACUUAGAGCUAACAUUAGCUUUUUUUUUUUUUUAGAUAGGAUGUAAUGUGGUAACGUUAUGUGCUGGAGAGUAUUAGAGUGGACGUGUAGAAAUUGAAGACACAAGUACUGUGCUUAAUUUCAUGGAAAUGGUAUUGCAAGUAAUGUGUUUUGUUUUUGUGCACUAUCAAACUACUUUGUCAUGCUUUGUGCACUGACAUUCUUGCAAAACCAUUCACACCCAUGCUAAAUUAUGGAAAUGUAAAAGUUGAAUUGUAUCGAAAAGGACCAUGUAUGGUCAUGUAGUGCAUUUGAGCACUGACACCCCUUUUUUUUAAUUUUAGAGAGGGAGGCAACACUCAAGCUACAUCAAGGACAUGGACCAGAAGACCUGAGACCAAGACGACCCAAGCCCAACCCAUAGUAUGCUUCACUGACAAAUGUUGAUGCUUCAUCAUCACAUAGACUAAAGGUUUCAGAGAAGGCUGGUAGAGCUCUCUAUGAGUGUGAGCUGUGGGAGAUAACCAAGAACUGACAACCACCUAAAGAAGAGGUGGCGAUAAUGGCUCUCCAAGACGAGGAGGCACUUAGAGGGAAUGCCUGGACCCUGAGAGGAUGUAAGACGAUAAUUGAGGCCACCCUGAAGCAGUUCCCAGGCCAGACACUCGCUCCAGAUUGCUGGGCCAGGCAAUAAAUGCCAAAGUGACAGAACUGAGGUUCCA